CUCCUCUUCAUCUUCUUCCUUUUUUUUCUGAAACUUAAUUUUGUUCAUCAGUUGGAAAACCAACAGUAAACUUGAGGAGUAAUUGGAUCGAUUUCUUAAUCAAUUUCAACUUUAAGUUAAUUCCCUUUUCAAAAAUCAAUUUCUUGAGCCACUGUGAUCUUGUAUAUUUUACUCGUAAUUUCAAUGUAUUUUCAAUUUCAAGUGAUGUAAUUUUAUCCAAAUUGAAUGAAUUGGAUACCCAAAUUGUUCAAGAAUCUAAAAAGGUGGAAGAUAUGGAGUUGAUUUUGGAGUUGUUCAAGAAUGAGUUCGAUACCCAAAUUGUUCAAGAACCUGUGUGAUUUUGGAGUUGAUUUUUCGUUAAAAAACUUAAUUUUGUUCGUCAUUGGAAAACCAAUGUGUUUUCAAUUUCAAGUGAUGCAAUUUUAUCCAAAUUGAAUGAAUUGGACCUAAAUUGUUCAAGAAUUUGAAAAGGUGGAAGAUAUGGAGUUGAUUUUGGAGUUGUUCAAGAAUAAAUUGGAUACCCAAACUGUUCAAGAACCUGUGUGAUUUUAGAGUUGAUUUUUCGGCGAUCUUGCCGAAAAAUGUUGACUGUGUUGCUGCUCUCGUGCAUGUGUGUGAACUAUGUGUGCGUGUGAGUGAAUGUGUGUGAGAGAAUUGUGAAACGCCGGGAGAGGAGUGGUGUGAAGAU
This 688-nucleotide long non-coding RNA is filed under the name Capsicum annuum. RNAcentral describes it as "long non-coding RNA (CANN_LNC021673)". The record is from RNAcentral. Lineage: Eukaryota; Viridiplantae; Streptophyta; Magnoliopsida; Solanales; Solanaceae.